This 413-nucleotide ribosomal RNA is filed under the name uncultured Glomeromycotina. Its description in RNAcentral is "SSU rRNA". It matches the Rfam family "Eukaryotic small subunit ribosomal RNA", at positions 682 to 1092 of the family's 1831-position model. Lineage: Eukaryota; Fungi; Glomeromycota. The record is from RNAcentral.
GGUCUCGCUGAUCCCUCCCUCUUGACGAACUGUGAUGCCAUUAAUUUGGUGUCGCAGGGAAUCAGGACUGUUACUUUGAAAAAAUUAGAGUGUUUAAAGCAGGCUUUCGCUUGAAUACAUUAGCAUGGAAUAAUGAAAUAGGACGUUUGAUCCUAUUUUGUUGGUUUCUAGGAUUGACGUAAUGAUUAAUAGGGAUAGUUGGGGGCAUUAGUAUUCAAUUGUCAGAGGUGAAAUUCUUGGAUUUAUUGAAGACUAACUACUGCGAAAGCAUUUGCCAAGGAUGUUUUCAUUAAUCAAGAACGAAAGUUAGGGGAUCGAAGACGAUCAGAUACCGUCGUAGUCUUAACCAUAAACUAUGCCGACUAGGGAUCGGAUGAUGUUAAUUUUUUUAAUGACUCAUUCGGCGCCUUACG